Molecule: long non-coding RNA, 331 nt
Organism: Helianthus annuus (common sunflower)
Lineage: Eukaryota; Viridiplantae; Streptophyta; Magnoliopsida; Asterales; Asteraceae
Exons: 2
Source: RefSeq, a predicted model, not a curated record
GUCAUGAUUGGGUCAUGGUUUGCCACAUAGGCCCAUUAUUCAUGCCCUAUACCACCCCCCUCAUUAAAUCACGGUGGUUGGCGUGGAUUAAACCACGGCAACCACGUCCCCCUUUUUUCCAUUAUUCACGUAAACCCUAACCCCAACAUCAAGAAGAACAAUAUGUAUUUUUCAUUCACGUCGCAGUCUUUUGAUCGUAAUCUGCUGGUUUUGCUUUUUUUCCAAAGUUUUAUACAGGUCCAAAUGGAUUGGAAUUGUUAUUUUAAUAACCCGAGUUUGAGGAUGAAGUGAUGGAGAUUCCGGAAUUGAAGCACCCAAAUGGUAGAGAAAA